RNAcentral lists this ribosomal RNA (501 nucleotides) under uncultured bacterium. RNAcentral's name for it is "partial 16S ribosomal RNA". It matches the Rfam family "Bacterial small subunit ribosomal RNA", at positions 30 to 523 of the family's 1533-position model. The record is from RNAcentral.
AUUGAACGCUGGCGGCAGGCUUAACACAUGCAAGUCGAGCGGGGGAAGGUAGCUUGCUACCGGACCUAGCGGCGGACGGGUGAGUAAUGCUUAGGAAUCUGCCUAUUAGUGGGGGACAACAUCUCGAAAGGGAUGCUAAUACCGCAUACGUCCUACGGGAGAAAGCAGGGGAUCUUCGGACCUUGCGCUAAUAGAUGAGCCUAAGUCGGAUUAGCUAGUUGGUGGGGUAAAGGCCUACCAAGGCGACGAUCUGUAGCGGGUCUGAGAGGAUGAUCCGGCACACUGGGACUGAGACACGGCACAGACUCCUACCGGAGGCAGCAGUGGGGAAUAUUGGACAAUGGGGGGAACCCUGAUCCAGCCAUGCCGCGUGUGUGAAGAAGGCCUUAUGGUUGUAAAGCACUUUAAGCGAGGAGGAGGCUACUUUAGUUAAUACCUAGGGAUAGUGGACGUUACUCGCAGAAUAAGCGCCGGCUAACUCUGUGCCAGCAGCCGCAGUAA